GCUUGAGCACGUAGGUGGGUUUGUAAGUCAGAUGUGAAAGCCUUCUGUUCAACGGAAGAAUUGCAUCUGAAACUACUAAUCUUGAGUAUAGGAGGGGAGAAUGGAACUUCUGGUGGAGCGGUGAAAUGCGUAGAUAUCAGAAGGAACGCCGGCGGCGAAAGCGAUUCUCUGGCCUAUUACUGACACUCAGUGUGCGAAAGCUAGGGGAGCAAACGGGAUUAGAUACCCCGGUAGUCCUAGCCGUAAACGAUGGGCACUAAGUAGAGGGGAUUACCUAUGUUCUCUCUGCCGUAGCUAACGCAUUAAGUGCCCCGCCUGGGGAGUACGGCCGCAAGGCUAAAACUCAAAAGAAUUGACGGGGGCUCGCACAAGCGGUGGAGCAUGUGGCUUAAUUCGAUGCAACGCGAAAAACCUUACCGGGGCUUGACAUGAUAGAAGUAGGAACCUGAAAGGGGGACGAACGGUAUCCAGUCCGUAGCUAUUACAGGUGUUGCAUGGCUGUCGUCAGCUCGUGUCGUGAGACGUUGGGUUAAGUCCCCUAACGAGCGAAACCCUUGUUUUUAGUUACCAGCGGGUUAUGCCGGGUACUCUAGAAAGACUGCCGUCGUCAAGACGGAGGAAGGUGGGGAUGACGUCAAGUCAUCACGGCCCUUAUGCCCCGGGCUGCACACGUGCUACAAUGGUCGGUACAGACGGAAGCGAAGCCGAGAGGUGAAGCGAAUCCAAGC
This 728-nucleotide ribosomal RNA is filed under the name uncultured Planctomycetota bacterium. RNAcentral describes it as "bacterial SSU rRNA". It matches the Rfam family "Bacterial small subunit ribosomal RNA", at positions 558 to 1278 of the family's 1533-position model. Lineage: Bacteria; Pseudomonadati; Planctomycetota. The record is from RNAcentral.